UGCGAGUCAAGGAGAGAGACCUCAGGAGCACCUACCGAUACUCUGACCUUGGACCUGGAGUCUCCAGAACUGUGAGGGAAUAUGUUUCUGUUGUUGAAAUCACCCGGACUGUGGAAUCGUGCUAUGGCACCCCUAGCAAACUCCUACACAGCCCUGGAAACGCACGAGGGAGGCUUGGAGGGUGCAGAGGGAGCACGGCUGGGUCGCCUGGGUCGCGACUAUCUAAAUGUAGACCAUUAGAGGCACACGGAAGAUUCAUACGUCUUGGCAAAAAGAACCUUCCAACAUGGGCACCUACACCAUUCAGCGAAGAGAUGUCUUCUAGAUUUGUUAUGGACGCAGAUGUCGGCAUGCUUAACUUACUUACGAAAAGUGAAAAACCGAAUAAAGACUUUCCCACCUAAUGAGGCUUGAUUGGCAACGCCGGCAGAUUUUGAGAGGCAAUUCUCGUGCCAUUUGAGAAAGGAACACUGAGUUUUACACAAUGAGAAAACAAUGACCAGAUUACAAUUCUGGCUAAUGGUGUUAAGCCACUAACACUCUUCUGGUAUAAACCUUAAUUUUCUGAAAUGUGUAACUAAGACAGACCCUAAUCCCAGAUGAAAUUUAAUUGAAGGUUGUUUUUAAAAACCUGGCAGGAGAUAUUUCUCUUUGGCGUGCUGCCAACUAAAACGGACUCUGGACAUUUCUUCAUUGUUACUUCAGCCAAGUUAGACCAUAAUGAGAACCAGUCUUUUGGACUUUAACCCGACAGCUUAAACAAGAUUUAAAAUCUAGCUUCUUUAUUAAAAUACAUUAACAAGUGUUUUCAAAAAGCUUGGCAAUUAAUGUAUACAUAUUUAUCCAUAAGAGUAAGUAACAUACAUAGGCAAAUAUAACCAAAGGCAAAAUAUAGUGUGCCUGUGCUCAUUUAUACUUGCGGACAAGGGAUUUCUAUUCCCUACGUGAAGCUUUCCUGCAUUAACAGUAGAGGAAAAAUUAGUUCAAUACAUCAAUAUGAAGAGAAAACGCAGCUAAAACAGAAGGCUAACGUACUGGAUAAAUUAGGUCAGAAGAUCUUGUUAGAGACCCUUAUAAUUUACGUAAGUUACAUUUGUGACGCUUGACAAAAUUGUAAUUGAGUAAAUAUCAGCCUAAUUGGUUUGUUGCUCAUCUCCCCAUGAGAAAGCAGGGGAGCGAAAGCCUUGUUCUGAGGAGCAACUGUUUACCUAGAGAGAAGGGCAAAGAGAACGAAUGGUUACUGUCUGUCUACUACAGGUCAGCUCCUAUGGUAUAGACGCUUCAUUUCUUUUAAUACUUCAUAGCUCUGUACAGAAAGAAACAGGGUCUCCAUGAAGUGCUGAGAGAUUGGGAUACAAGAAGGGAGCCCGGGUGACUCAGUCGGUUAAACGUCUGACUCUGGAUUUUGGCUCCGGUCAUGAUCUCACGGUUUCUGAGUUUGAGCCCUGCAUUAGGCUGUGUGCUGACAAUGUGGAGCCUGCUUGGGAUUCUCUGUCCCCCUCUCUCUCUUCCACUCUGCUCCUCUCUCUCUCUCUCUCUUUC
This is a long non-coding RNA of Acinonyx jubatus (cheetah), 1542 nucleotides long. RefSeq lists it as uncharacterized. The transcript has 2 exons. Lineage: Eukaryota; Metazoa; Chordata; Mammalia; Carnivora; Felidae. The record is from RefSeq and is a predicted model, not a curated record.